Molecule: ribosomal RNA, 475 nt
Filed under: uncultured bacterium
Lineage: Bacteria
Description: bacterial SSU rRNA
Rfam family: Bacterial small subunit ribosomal RNA
Source: RNAcentral
UUAACACAUGCAAGUCGAACGGAAAGGCCCUUUCGGGGGUACUCGAGUGGCGAACGGGUGAGUAACACGUGGGUGAUCUGCCCUGCACUUUGGGAUAAGCUUGGGAAACUGGGUCUAAUACCGGAUAGGACUACGGCCUGCAUGGGUUGUGGUGGAAAGCUUUUGCGGUGUGGGAUGGGCCCGCGGCCUAUCAGCUUGUUGGUGGGGUGAUGGCCUACCGAGGCGACGACGGGUAGCCGGCCUGAGAGGGUGUCCGGCCACACUGGGACUGAGAUACGGCCCAGACUCCUACGGGAGGCAGCAGUGGGGAAUAUUGCACAAUGGGCGCAAGCCUGAUGCAGCGACGCCGCGUGGGGGAUGACGGCCUUCGGGUUGUAAACCUCUUUCACCAUCGGCGAAGCCGGGGGCUUUUGUUUCCGGUGACGGUAGGUGGAGAAGAAGCACCGGCCAACUACGUGCCAGCAGCCGCGGUAAU